UACGUAGGGGGCAAGCGUUGUCCGGAAUUAUUGGGCGUAAAGGGCGCGUAGGCGGCCACCGCAAGUCGACUGUGAAAUCUCCGGGCUUAACCCGGAAAGGUCAGCCGAUACUGCGGGGCUAGAGUGCAGAAGGGGCAACUGGAAUUCCCGGUGUAGUGGUGAAAUGCGUAGAUAUCGGGAGGAACACCAGUGGCGAAGGCGACUACCUGGCCUGUUCUUGACGCUGAGGCGCGAAAGCUAGGGGAGCAAACGGGG
RNAcentral lists this ribosomal RNA (255 nucleotides) under uncultured bacterium. Its description in RNAcentral is "partial 16S ribosomal RNA". It matches the Rfam family "Bacterial small subunit ribosomal RNA", at positions 524 to 777 of the family's 1533-position model. The record is from RNAcentral.